UUUCAAAAUAAAAUAUUAAUGUUAACGCUAAAAAAACCUUAUGAUAAAGACACCUGGGACUUUCCCCCUGUUACCGUCAACGCAUAUUACAAGGCGAACGCAAACGAAAUGGUAUUCCCAGCUGGCAUUUUGCAAGAACCUUUGUUUUAUUCGGACCUACCUAC
Gordionus sp. m RMFG-2023 is the source of this 164-nucleotide long non-coding RNA. RefSeq lists it as uncharacterized. Lineage: Eukaryota; Metazoa; Nematomorpha; Gordioida; Chordodea; Parachordodidae. The record is from RefSeq and is a predicted model, not a curated record. The transcript is spliced from 3 exons.